AGUGAGUCAUCGAAAUUUUGAACGCAUAUUGCACCUCCGGGUUAUUCCUGGAGGUAUGCCUGUAUCAGUGUCCGUACAUCAAACUUGGUNUUCUUCUUUCCGUGUAGUCGGGGGAGGAUAUGCCAGAUGUGAAGUGUCUUACGGCUGAUUUUCGGAUCGGCUGUGAGUCCUUUGAAAUGUACAGAACUGACUCUCUUUGUUCGAAAAGCGUGGCAUUGCUGGUUGUAAAGGCUGUUCAUGUGACCAGUCGGCGAUCGGUUUGUCUGCUGUGGCGUUAAUGGAGGAGUGUUCGAUUCGCGGUAUGGUUGGCUUCGGCUGAACAGACGCUUAUUGGUCAUUCUUCUUGCUGUGGCGGUAUAACUGAUGAACCGUAGUCGUGUGUGACUUACCUUUUGAAUCGGCGUUGCUGUGCGAAGUAGAGUGACAGUUUCGGCUGUCGAGGGUCGACCCAUUUGGGAAAUUGUGCGGUGCGGCUUCGGUCGCGCGGCAUCUCAAUUGGACCUGAUAUCAGGCAAGAUUACCCGCUGAACUUAAGCAUAUCAAUAAGCGGAGGA
This 554-nucleotide ribosomal RNA is filed under the name uncultured Oomycota. Its description in RNAcentral is "eukaryotic LSU rRNA". The stretch from base 1 to 73 matches the Rfam family "5.8S ribosomal RNA", at positions 83 to 154 of the family's 154-position model. Lineage: Eukaryota; Oomycota. The record is from RNAcentral.